GGAUGUAGAAGUGAAGAACGCCACACAGUGGAAGGAUAAGAUAAAGAGUCAGCGAAUGAGAAUCAGCACGGAGUUUUCAAAGCUGCACAACUUCCUGGUUGAAGAAGAGGACCUGUUUCUUCAGAGAUUGAACAAAGAAGAAGAAGAGACAAAGAAGAAGCUGAAUGAGAACACGUUAAAACUCAAUCAAACGAUCGCUUCAUUGAAGAAGCUCAUCUUAGAGGUUGGGGAGAAGAGCCAGGCCUCCACCCUGGGGCUGCUUCAGGUGAGACACUUACGGGCAGGGAUGAUCUCGUCUUCACUAACUGAACUCUCUCUUGUCUUUAGAGCUGCAUGUCCUUCCUGGUGAGUGGGUUUCAUAGACAUGUCUUAUCUCUUGCUAGUUCUGUGCUGUCACAUAACUAAAAAGCCAAAGAUUCACCAUCCAAAGGAAAUUAAUGUGAAAUGUAGGUAUGCUGAGCUCAGGUCAUAGGAGAUAAAUUGGUUCACAUGGUCUCAUAGUUCAUCUAGGAUCUGAGACUUAGCACAUAUAAGAUUUUUUCAUUCAUCUUAUGUGUACAUUUAUAAUUAUUAAACAGUAAAACAAAGCAAGCAUAAAAC
RNAcentral lists this small RNA (600 nucleotides) under Pongo abelii (Sumatran orangutan). RNAcentral's name for it is "retained intron". The record is from RNAcentral. Lineage: Eukaryota; Metazoa; Chordata; Mammalia; Primates; Hominidae.